This 107-nucleotide small RNA is filed under the name Marmota monax (woodchuck). The record is from RNAcentral. Lineage: Eukaryota; Metazoa; Chordata; Mammalia; Rodentia; Sciuridae.
GCUGGGUGUUUCAGCAUACAUCUGUAAUCCCAGCGACUUGGGAGGCUGAGGCAGGAGGAUCACAAGUUUGAGGCCAGCCUCAGCAACUUAGUAAGACCCUGUCUCAA